Molecule: ribosomal RNA, 467 nt
Filed under: uncultured bacterium
Lineage: Bacteria
Description: partial 16S ribosomal RNA
Rfam family: Bacterial small subunit ribosomal RNA
Source: RNAcentral
GACGAACGCUGGCGGCGUGCUUAACACAUGCAAGUCGAACGGAAAGGCCUCUUUCGGGGGGUACUCGAGUGGCGAACGGGUGAGUAACACGUGAGUAACCUGCCCUUGACUUUGGGAUAACUUCAGGAAACUGGGGCUAAUACCGGAUAGGAGCUCCUGCUGCAUGGUGGGGGUUGGAAAGUUUCGGCGGUUGGGGAUGGACUCGCGGCUUAUCAGCUUGUUGGUGGGGUAGUGGCUUACCAAGGCUUUGACGGGUAGCCGGCCUGAGAGGGUGACCGGCCACAUUGGGACUGGGAUACGGCCCAGACUCCUACGGGAGGCAGCAGUGGGGAAUAUUGCACAAUGGGUGGAAGCCUGAUGCAGCAAAGCCGUGUGCGGGAUGACGGCCUUCGGGUUGUAAACCGCUUUCGCUCAUGACGAAGCUUUGUGUGACGGUAGUGGGUAAAGAAGCACCGGCUAACUACGUG